Molecule: ribosomal RNA, 392 nt
Filed under: uncultured bacterium
Lineage: Bacteria
Description: bacterial SSU rRNA
Rfam family: Bacterial small subunit ribosomal RNA
Source: RNAcentral
GAUGAACGCUGGCGGCGUGCCUAAUACAUGCAAGUCGAGCGGUAACAGGCUCUCACAGUUUGCUUAAGUUCUGCAACCUUCGGGAUGUAGAUGAUGAAUGUAUGCCAUAUGACUAGGCUAGUCAUAUACAUGCAGGAGUUAUAUUAAGCGAAGUGUGAGAGUGCUGACGAGCGGCGGACGGCUGAGUAACACGAGGAACGUACCCCAAAGUGAGGGAUAAGCACCAGAAAUGGUGUCUAAUACCGCAUGUGAUCUUCGGAUUAAAGCUUCGGCGCUUUGGGAACGGCCUGCGUAUGAUUAGUUUGUUGGUGAGGUAAUGGCUCACCAAGACUACGAUCAUUAGCUGGUCUGAGAGGAUGAUCAGCCAGACUGGGACUGAGACACGGCCCAGA